AUUGAACGCUGGCGGCAGGCUUAACACAUGCAAGUCGAGCGGUAACAGAGAGAAGCUUGCUUCUCUGCUGACGAGCGGCGGACGGGUGAGUAACGCCUAGGAAUCUGCCUAGUAGUGGGGGAUAACUUGCCGAAAGGUAAGCUAAUACCGCAUACGUCCUACGGGAGAAAGGAGGGGACCUUCGGGCCUUUCGCUAUUAGAUGAGCCUAGGUCGGAUUAGUUAGUUGGUGAGGUAAUGGCUCACCAAGACCGCGAUCCGUAACUGGUCUGAGGGGAUGAUCAGUCCCACUGAAACUGAGACACGGUCCGGACUCCUACGGGAGGCAGCAGUGGGGAAUAUUGGACAAUGGGGGGAACCCUGAUCCAGCCAUGCCGCGUGUGUGAAGAGGGUCUUAGGAUUGUAAAGCACUUUAAGUUGGGAGGAAGAGCAGUUAACUAAUAUUUGACUGUUUUGACGUUACCGACAGAAUAAGCACCGGCUAACUUCGUGCCAGCCGCCGCCGUAA
This 506-nucleotide ribosomal RNA is filed under the name uncultured bacterium. RNAcentral describes it as "partial 16S ribosomal RNA". It matches the Rfam family "Bacterial small subunit ribosomal RNA", at positions 30 to 523 of the family's 1533-position model. The record is from RNAcentral.